GGGAGUGUCGCCUAAUGGAUGGGCACCGGUCUUCUAAAUCGGCUUGUGUAGGUUCGAGCCCUACCACUCCUGCCA
RNAcentral lists this transfer RNA (75 nucleotides) under Leptolyngbya sp. FACHB-541. Its description in RNAcentral is "tRNA-Arg". It matches the Rfam family "tRNA". Rfam says of the family: Transfer RNA (tRNA) molecules are approximately 80 nucleotides in length. Their secondary structure includes four short double-helical elements and three loops (D, anti-codon, and T loops). Lineage: Bacteria; Bacillati; Cyanobacteriota; Cyanophyceae; Leptolyngbyales; Leptolyngbyaceae. RNAcentral also lists the same sequence under 1 other name. The record is from RNAcentral.